RNAcentral lists this ribosomal RNA (490 nucleotides) under uncultured bacterium. Its description in RNAcentral is "partial 16S ribosomal RNA". It matches the Rfam family "Bacterial small subunit ribosomal RNA", at positions 30 to 507 of the family's 1533-position model. The record is from RNAcentral.
AUUGAACGCUGGCGGCAGGCCUAACACAUGCAAGUCGAACGGCAGCACAGAAGAGCUUGCUCUUCGGGUGGCGAGUGGCGGACGGGUGAGUAAUGUCUGUGAAACUGCCCGAUGGAGGGGGAUACCUACUGGAAACGGUAGCUAAUACCGCAUAACGUCGCGAGACCAAAGUGGGGGACCUUCGGGCCUCACACCAUCGGAUGUGCCCAGAUGGGAUUAGCUAGUAGGUGGGGUAACGGCUCACCUAGGCGACGAUCCCUAGCUGGUCUGAGAGGAUGACCAGCCACACUGGAACUGAGACACGGUCCAGACUCCUACGGGAGGCAGCAGUGGGGAAUAUUGCACAAUGGGCGCAAGCCUGAUGCAGCCAUGCCGCGUGUAUGAAGAAGGCCUUCGGGUUGUAAAGUACUUUCAGCGGGGAGGAAGGCGAUGUGGUUAAUAACCGCGUCGAUUGACGUUACCCGCAGAAGAAGCACCGGCUAACUCCGUG